AGUAUUUUGACUAUACAAAGGUAUUGAAAUAAGACUUUAAUUGAGUGCUAAGAGAAUGGAAUUUCAUAAAAUUUCUUUUUUAAUUUUAAAAAUUGAAAUUAAUUUUAUAUGUGAAGAAACAAUAAUAAAAAUUAAGGACAAGAAGACCCUAAGAAUUUUAAAGAUUUCAAUAAAAUUUUGUAUUUUAUUGAAAUCUUUUAAUUGGGGCGAUUAUUAAAUAUUAAAAACUUUAAUUUUUUUAAAAAAGAACCAAUAAUAUUGGUUAUUUGAAAAAAUACUCUAGGGAUAACAGCGUAAUAAUUUUUGAUAGUUCUUAUAGACAAAAUAGUUUGCGACCUCGAUGUUGGAUUAGGAUUCUUUUUUAAUGAAGAAGUUAAAAAAAGAAGUUUGUUCAACUUUUAAAAUCCU
This 408-nucleotide ribosomal RNA is filed under the name Amblyomma triste. RNAcentral describes it as "partial 16S ribosomal RNA". Lineage: Eukaryota; Metazoa; Arthropoda; Arachnida; Ixodida; Ixodidae. The record is from RNAcentral.